CGCGGCCGCCAUCUUACGCCCGUCGCCCUGAGUACGUUAGCGGAAAUGGCUCCGAGAGGCUUUGACGCAUGUGUACCUUUUUAGUGGCGGUAUCUCGGCCGGGGAUUUUCGGGCUCCAGUGGAGGUGGCUAUGCUCACCCCAUCUCCCUUGAGAGGCACAGAAGGUUAGAGAUGUGUGCGAGGAACGGCCAGGUCCAGCGUCUCCUCGUUGCUGCCCCUUGAGCCCGGGACCGGCGCCAAUGCGCGCCCGGGUUCUUGGGUUCUUUCGUCCCGCAGACCUGCCUUGGUGUGGCGUCCCUGGGCCGUAGCUUCCGAAGGCUGCAGCCGACCUGGUCGGGGUCCUCUAGCCCGCCUUCCCCUUCCCCCAUUGACAGAUGGAGAAACUGAGGCCCAGGCCAAAAAAUAUCUCACUAGAGGGCUCACCGCCAUUUCCUGGAAAAAUUGGGGCUGGGACUCAACGGACGCUCGUCCAGCAGCAGCGCGGAGCUCCGAAGUAAAGGCGCCCGUGACCGAGUGCUUUGUCCUUACAAGCGUGGUGUUCUUGAAUGCUUCCAGGCGCCUUAUGAGGCCCCCGAUGUACAAUCUGUGCUUAACUAAACCCCACUGUCUUCCAGGGUCAGGUUGGCCAUCCGCAGGCGUAGUUGCUAGGAAGGUUUGACAGAUGUCCGCCUGUUGAUUCAGACGUUCCCAGGAUUUGGAGCAAGAAGAGCAAGGAAGGCCAGGCGCGGUGGCUCACGUUUGUAAUCCCAGCACUUUGGGAGGCCGAGGCGGGCGGAUCACGAGGUCAGGAGUUCGAGACCAGCCUGGCCAGCAUGGUGAAACCCCGUCUCUACUAAAAAUACAAAAGAAAAUUAGCCGGGUGUGGUGGCACAUGCCUGUAGUCCCACCUACUUGGGAGGCUGAGGCAGGAGAAUUGUUUGACCUGGCAGGCGGAGGUUGCAGUGAGCCGAGAU
RNAcentral lists this long non-coding RNA (953 nucleotides) under Homo sapiens (human). RNAcentral describes it as "HSALNT0396074". Lineage: Eukaryota; Metazoa; Chordata; Mammalia; Primates; Hominidae. The record is from RNAcentral.